RNAcentral lists this ribosomal RNA (253 nucleotides) under uncultured bacterium. RNAcentral's name for it is "partial 16S ribosomal RNA". It matches the Rfam family "Bacterial small subunit ribosomal RNA", at positions 524 to 776 of the family's 1533-position model. The record is from RNAcentral.
UACGAAGGGGGCUAGCGUUGCUCGGAAUCACUGGGCGUAAAGCGCACGUAGGCGGCUUUCUAAGUCAGGGGUGAAAUCCUGGAGCUCAACUCCAGAACUGCCUUUGAUACUGGAGAGCUUGAGUCCGGGAGAGGUGAGUGGAACUCCGAGUGUAGAGGUGAAAUUCGUAGAUAUCGGGAGGAACACCAGUGGCGAAGGCGGCGAUCUGGGUAGAUACUGACGCUGAGGUGCGAAAGCGUGGGGAGCAAACAGG